GGUGGUUUUUCGCCGUAGUGAUA
Molecule: microRNA, 23 nt
Filed under: Caenorhabditis briggsae
Lineage: Eukaryota; Metazoa; Nematoda; Chromadorea; Rhabditida; Rhabditidae
Description: Cbr-Mir-36-o23_5p* (star (passenger))
Source: RNAcentral